This 1372-nucleotide ribosomal RNA is filed under the name uncultured bacterium. RNAcentral's name for it is "bacterial SSU rRNA". It matches the Rfam family "Bacterial small subunit ribosomal RNA", at positions 28 to 1381 of the family's 1533-position model. The record is from RNAcentral.
GAUGAACGCUGGCGGCGUGCCUAAUACAUGCAAGUCGAGCGAACGGACGAGAAGCUUGCUUCUCUGAUGUUAGCGGCGGACGGGUGAGUAACACGUGGAUAACCUACCUAUAAGACUGGGAUAACUUCGGGAAACCGGAACUAAUACCGGAUAAUAUUUUGAACCGCAUGGUUCAAAAGUGAAAGACGGUCUUGCUGUCACUUAUAGAUGGAUCCGCGCUGCAUUAGCUAGUUGGUAAGGUAACGGCUUACCAAGGCAACGAUGCAUAGCCGACCUGAGAGGGUGAUCGGCCACACUGGAACUGAGACACGGUCCAGACUCCUACGGGAGGCAGCAGUAGGGAAUCUUCCGCAAUGGGCGAAAGCCUGACGGAGCAACGCCGCGUGAGUGAUGAAGGUCUUCGGAUCGUAAAACUCUGUUAUUAGGGAAGAACAUAUGUGUAAGUAACUGUGCACAUCUUGACGGUACCUAAUCAGAAAGCCACGGCUAACUACGUGCCAGCAGCCGCGGUAAUACGUAGGUGGCAAGCGUUAUCCGGAAUUAUUGGGCGUAAAGCGCGCGUGGGCGGUUUUUUAAGUCUGAUGUGAAAGCCCACGGCUCAACCGUGGAGGGUCAUUGGAAACUGGAAAACUUGAGUGCAGAAGAGGAAAGUGGAAUUCCAUGUGUAGCGGUGAAAUGCGCAGAGAUAUGGAGGAACACCAGUGGCGAAGGCGACUUUCUGGUCUGUAACUGACGCUGAUGUGCGAAAGCGUGGGGAUCAAACAGGAUUAGAUACCCUGGUAGUCCACGCCGUAAACGAUGAGUGCUAAGUGUUAGGGGGUUUCCGCCCCUUAGUGCUGCAGCUAACGCAUUAAGCACUCCGCCUGGGGAGUACGACCGCAAGGUUGAAACUCAAAGGAAUUGACGGGGACCCGCACAAGCGGUGGAGCAUGUGGUUUAAUUCGAAGCAACGCGAAGAACCUUACCAAAUCUUGACAUCCUUUGACAACUCUAGAGAUAGAGCUUUCCCCUUCGGGGGACAAAGUGACAGGUGGUGCAUGGUUGUCGUCAGCUCGUGUCGUGAGAUGUUGGGUUAAGUCCCGCAACGAGCGCAACCCUUAAGCUUAGUUGCCAUCAUUAAGUUGGGCACUCUAAGUUGACUGCCGGUGACAAACCGGAGGAAGGUGGGGAUGACGUCAAAUCAUCAUGCCCCUUAUGAUUUGGGCUACACACGUGCUACAAUGGACAAUACAAAGGGCAGCGAAACCGCGAGGUCAAGCAAAUCCCAUAAAGUUGUUCUCAGUUCGGAUUGUAGUCUGCAACUCGACUACAUGAAGCUGGAAUCGCUAGUAAUCGUAGAUCAGCAUGCUACGGUGAAUACGUUCCCGGGUCU